This 465-nucleotide ribosomal RNA is filed under the name uncultured Klebsiella sp. Its description in RNAcentral is "bacterial SSU rRNA". It matches the Rfam family "Bacterial small subunit ribosomal RNA", at positions 338 to 795 of the family's 1533-position model. The record is from RNAcentral. Lineage: Bacteria; Pseudomonadati; Pseudomonadota; Gammaproteobacteria; Enterobacterales; Enterobacteriaceae.
CCUACGGGUGGCUGCAGUGGGGAAUAUUGCACAAUGGGCGCAAGCCUGAUGCAGCCAUGCCGCGUGUGUGAGGAAGGCCUUCGGGUUGUAAAGCACUUUCAGCGGGGAGGAAGGCGGUGAGGUUAAUAACCUCAUCGAUUGACGUUACCCGCAGAAGAAGCACCGGCUAACUCCGUGCCAGCAGCCGCGGUAAUACGGAGGGUGCAAGCGUUAAUCGGAAUUACUGGGCGUAAAGCGCACGCAGGCGGUCUGGCAAGUCGGAUGUGAAAUCCCCGGGCUCAACCUGGGAACUGCAUUCGAAACUGGCAGGCUAGAGUCUUGUAGAGGGGGGUAGAAUUCCAGGUGUAGCGGUGAAAUGCGUAGAGAUCUGGAGGAAUACCGGUGGCGAAGGCGGCCCCCUGGACAAAGACUGACGCUCAAGUGCGAAAGCGUGGGGAGCAAACAGGAUUAGAUACCCGGGUAGUC